This 427-nucleotide ribosomal RNA is filed under the name Pseudomonas sp. RNAcentral describes it as "partial 16S ribosomal RNA". It matches the Rfam family "Bacterial small subunit ribosomal RNA", at positions 355 to 774 of the family's 1533-position model. The record is from RNAcentral. Lineage: Bacteria; Pseudomonadati; Pseudomonadota; Gammaproteobacteria; Pseudomonadales; Pseudomonadaceae. RNAcentral also lists the same sequence under 1 other name.
UGGGGAAUAUUGGACAAUGGGCGAAAGCCUGAUCCAGCCAUGCCGCGUGUGUGAAGAAGGUCUUCGGAUUGUAAAGCACUUUAAGUUGGGAGGAAGGGUUGUAGAUUAAUACUCUGCAAUUUUGACGUUACCGACAGAAUAAGCACCGGCUAACUCUGUGCCAGCAGCCGCGGUAAUACAGAGGGUGCAAGCGUUAAUCGGAAUUACUGGGCGUAAAGCGCGCGUAGGUGGUUUGUUAAGUUGGAUGUGAAAUCCCCGGGCUCAACCUGGGAACUGCAUUCAAAACUGACUGACUAGAGUAUGGUAGAGGGUGGUGGAAUUUCCUGUGUAGCGGUGAAAUGCGUAGAUAUAGGAAGGAACACCAGUGGCGAAGGCGACCACCUGGACUGAUACUGACACUGAGGUGCGAAAGCGUGGGGAGCAAACA